UGGGGAAUAUUGGACAAUGGAGGGAACUCUGAUCCAGCAAUUCUGUGUGUGUGAAGAAGGUUUUAGGACUGUAAAACACUUUUAGUAGGGAAGAAAAAAAUGACGGUACCUACAGAAUAAGCAACGGCUAAAUACGUGCCAGCAGCCGCGGUAAUACGUAUGUUGCGAGCGUUAUCCGGAAUUAUUGGGCUUAAAGGGCAUCUAGGCGGUAAGACAAGUUGAAGGUGAAAACCUGUGGCUCAACCAUAGGCUUGCCUACAAAACUGUUGAACUAGAGUACUGGAAAGGUGGGUGGAACUACACGAGUAGAGGUGAAAUUCGUAGAUAUGUGUAGGAAUGCCGAUGAUGAAGAUAACUCACUGGACAGAAACUGACGCUGAAGUGCGAAAGCUAGGGGAGCAAACAGG
RNAcentral lists this ribosomal RNA (407 nucleotides) under Verrucomicrobiota bacterium. RNAcentral describes it as "Verrucomicrobia bacterium partial 16S ribosomal RNA". It matches the Rfam family "Bacterial small subunit ribosomal RNA", at positions 355 to 776 of the family's 1533-position model. Lineage: Bacteria; Pseudomonadati; Verrucomicrobiota. The record is from RNAcentral.